ACGGGUGAGUAACGCGUGGGAACGUACCUAAAAGUGGGGGACAACUCUCCGAAAGGAGAGCUAAUACCGCAUGUGAACGCAAGUUUAAAGUCGCAAGACGCUUUUAGAUCGGCCUGCGUCCCAUCAGCUAGUUGGUAGGGUAAUGGCCUACCAAGGCUACGACGGGUAGCUGGUGUGAGAGCAUGACCAGCCACAACUGCACUGAGAUACGGGCAGUACACCUACGGGUGGCAGCAACCGGGAAUAUUGGACAAUGGACGAAAGUCUGAUCCAGCGACUCCGCGUGAGGGAUGAAGGCUUUAGGGUUGUAAACCUCUUUUGUAUGGGAAGAAAAAAAUGACGGUACCAUACGAAUAAGGACCUGCAAACUACGUGCCAGCAGCCGCGGUAAUACGUAGGGUCCGAGCGUUAUCCGGAUUUAUUGGGCGUAAAGAGUUGCGUAGGCGGUUAUGUAAGUCUAUUUUUAAAGCCCGAAGCUUAACUUCGGAUAUGGAGUAGAUACUGCAUGACUUGAGUAACAGAGGGGGAGAUGGAAUUGUUGGUGGAGCAGUGAAAUGCGUUGA
This 563-nucleotide ribosomal RNA is filed under the name uncultured bacterium. RNAcentral's name for it is "bacterial SSU rRNA". It matches the Rfam family "Bacterial small subunit ribosomal RNA", at positions 102 to 694 of the family's 1533-position model. The record is from RNAcentral.